AGCUGGUCGACAAAACUUUCCCGGAGUUAAAAACCUCUAAGAAAACGGCCGUGAACGACUGCGUGUGUGUUUGUGCGUCUGAAAUGAAGUCACACGAUAUAAGGGCAUGGAGGACGGCCUGCGCUCCUUGACGGCGUCGGCGAUGGUGAGGGUGGAGGCUGAGCCGUAGAUGUUCUCCCUGGACGGAGCUGUGACCAGGAUGGUGGGAGGAUGCGGAGACAAGCCGGCCGGGUCGGCUUCAGCAUCGGCCGGAGACGAGGGGGGUCUCUCUGAGGCGUUGAGGAAGGACAGUGAUUAAACUCACAGACAGCGUGGGUGCUUAAUUUCAUUCUCAUACCCCUCACACAGGCUACAAUAGCUGCUGUUCCAGCCUUUUACUUAAUUCCCAUGGAGUCUGAUCGUCAUGCAGGUCACCAGGGCAACCCUGACGACUUCCAGGAGUGUGUGUGGAAGUGUUCCUCUAUCAGGAGCGAUGACGCUUCCUAAUUGGAUAGUGCUAAUGUCCUAAGCUGGUUAGAGCUGCGUUGACAUCAUUAUCCAGCGGGGAACAACAUCAUUUACCACUUUACCAUUAUAUAAUAGAUGAUGGGCGUAGCAAAAACAUCAAAUUAUGCACAGUGUCAUUAAAAAGUUGGAUACUCUGCUGGUUUACACUGA
Betta splendens (Siamese fighting fish) is the source of this 657-nucleotide long non-coding RNA. RefSeq lists it as uncharacterized. NCBI's taxonomy places the organism in Eukaryota, Metazoa, Chordata, Actinopteri, Anabantiformes, Osphronemidae. The record is from RefSeq and is a predicted model, not a curated record. The transcript is spliced from 2 exons.